This 761-nucleotide long non-coding RNA is filed under the name Monodelphis domestica (gray short-tailed opossum). Its description in RNAcentral is "lncRNA (ENSMODG00000040163.1)". Lineage: Eukaryota; Metazoa; Chordata; Mammalia; Didelphimorphia; Didelphidae. The record is from RNAcentral.
UGGGUCAUGAGAUGGAUGACAACAAAGCAAAGAAGACUGAAGAGUGGUUAGGAAGAUGGAAGGAGAAUAAAGAUGAAGGAUUCAGAGAAAUUAAGGAGUAUAUUCAGGAGAUGGGAGUGAAAGACUGUCGACUAAGAGUUUACAGUCUGUGAUAAAUGUGAAUUACUGACAAAUUCCUGACAGAUUCACGUCAGAUUAAAUCCUCCCCCAAUGUUCUUAAAAGAAUACAUCCCAUAUCUAUGGUCAAAAGAGAAGACCAUCAAUGGGUCCUUCAAAUGUACAAAUGGCACUGACAUAAUUAUGAAGUCGCCUUCUGCUGGACAGAGACAAAAUGGCAAGCCACUUCCAGCCUCCCCAACUUCCAUCCUCAGAGUGCAGAGUUUGCAGCUUACUCUCCCUACCCUCUUUGUCUUAGAAUAUUCACUGAAGUCUUACACAUGUGUGUGUGCAUGUAUAUGUGUGUACACAUUGUCAGUCUGUGUGCUUCAAGUGGAAGAUUUCCCAGUCCUUCCAUUCAUCUACUAAGCUUCUUUGGUUGUCAAAAUCCACUUGCCUACAUCACAGCUCAAUGAAGCCCUUUCCUUGGUCUCUGUAGCUUAUCCCAGCCACAAAAAUGUCCUACCUAGAUGUGAAGCAGGAAAAGAAAUAGGAGAAGGAAGAGGAGGAGGAGGAAAAGAAGAACAAAAACAGGAACAAGAAGAGGAAGAGCUAACUUUUAAAUUGUACUUUGAGAUUUGCAAACAGCUUAACAUAUAUUACCU